GCAAGCAGGUACUGAUAACUCGCCGUACUAAUUAGCAAAUUCAGCAUACGGCCAUUUUGCUUUCCCCGCUGUCAAAUAUUCAAAACACCCUGCCUCGACCUGCGGUUCAUAAAAAAAUUAACAGUCAAAGGGAAGUCACAGCCAAUACUGAUUUGACCAGUCCGGCCACAAUCCCACAAAAAAAGAGGAAAAAAAAAACACCGAGGAGUCGGUAAUGGCCAUAUCACCGACAGGAACAGCAGUCGGCGCCGCCGCCACAAGAAGCAGCAGCGGAUCCACGGUAGCCUCCAACAAUAACCCAAUGCAAGCCUGGUGGGAAACCAUAGCCAAAGCUCGCUCUGCAAUUCAAGCCCUAAUUUCCAUUCUGGGCAACAAUGAAUCCUACGAAAGCCUCCUAGACUCGGAAAGCCCAGCCAAGGCUCUCCUCGACAGCCGCGAAGUUGCAGAAGCGAUCGCCACCAGGUUCCUUCGUCACCCAUCUUCUGGUUCUGCCUCUGAUCCGCUCUGCCGAUGGCUCUACGAAACGUUCCAGACCCAGGACGCCGACCUCCACCUGGUGGUCCUCCGCUACGUGCCCCUGGUAGCGGGCCUUUACUUGUCCCGUGUUGUUAACCAGCAUGAGGUUGCUGAGCAGCAGGCGCACCCACUGGCGGGCUUUGAGGCUGUGCUUCUGGCGCUCUACACUGUGGAGGCCAAGGCGAGAGGCGGCCGCCCUGUGCUCAUCCAUGUCCCCGAUCUGGCCCAGCCCAGCCUCUACCACGCUCCCAGAAACCCUGCCCCCGAGGGUUCCCUGAGCCCGAUAAUCGGUCAGCUCUGCGCCCCGCUCGAACCUCAUGGUGCUGUGAAGUCCACCAAAAGGGCUUUUAUUGUCGGGGUCGCGCUCGACCUCUUUAACAGAAAGAUUGCUCUCAUGCCCGCCGAAGCAAAGGUGGAGGCUUGCGAGUUUGUGCAGGGGCUCGCCGGGCAAAACUGCCAGUGCGCCCGUUGCUUUGAAGACGAGUUUACCUCAGAGAAUUUUCCUGACACGAACUCUAACAUUUCCUCAAAUCUUGAGCAUAACCCUAAUACUGGUCCGAGGACGCUGAUCGAGGAGUUGAGGAAAUUCGGUAUCGAGGAGGGCAUCAAUGGUGGGAGUCCAAGCCCUAGCCCUAAAGGUAAUCGUGGGGCUGGGUCUGGAGAUUGUUGUAAUGGUGUCGUUGAUGAAAGCCGUGCCAAGGGCGCUAGGGUUCCUUUAAAUUGGGAGCUACUGCAGCCGAUGCUGAGAAUUCUGGGCCACUGCCUGCUGGGGCCUCUUAAUCCGCAAGAAGUCAAGGACGCGGCCUCGUCCGCAGUUAGGGUGCUUUUCGCAAGAGUUUCACAUGAUUUGGUCCCUGAAGCGAUUUUGGCAACCAGGAGUCUUGUAAGAUUGGAUGUGGCAUCACGAGCGAGUGCGGCAAGAGUUGCUGCUGCGACUGCCGAUGCUUCUGCAAGCAAGAAUAGUACGCCCACCAAGCGCCGGAAGCCUGAGAUGCUGCUGGUAUCUAAUGCGUCUUUGGUGGCAAGGUCCUAGUUGUAUUGAGGAAAAUUAUUUUCUGGUUGCUAUUGAGGAUUUAGCUGGAGAUCAACAUGCCUUACUGUGUUGGAUGACUGCACAGACAUUCAUGGCAUGAAAAUGAGUUGUGUUUUAUUGGCCUAUAUGACGGUUAGUCUCAAUCCUGAGGCCUGGGAAUCAAUAUAUUAACUAGUGAAUGAUUCAAUAAAUACUUUUUCUACGCUUGGAUGUUUGUUCACAAGGUGCAUGUGAGGAAUGUAAUGGUGAUAAAGACAAUGGAAAUUUUACCCGUCCCUUUGAAUUUUUUACGGUCUCUAAAAGGUGAGUCCCAUUCUAGGGGCUACUACACCAGUUUUUACGGAAUGCUCAAUAGCAGGGGUUGCAGGGGAAAGUGGAAUCUUCAGGUAAAAAACAGGAGUUUCCAUUUUAUUAGGAGAUAUUCAGUGGGGCAGGUUGUGGCACCCUCCUGAGUGAUUUACAAAUUUUUAUAUCCAAAGUUCAAGGGCAUUUCAUUCUAAGAUUUUAGAUACUUAUCUCCAACUUAUUAAGGGUAGUUUCUCCUAUAAAUUCUAAAAUUCGACAACUAGGCAGCAAAUUGAAAAAUGCUGAUGGUGCUUUUUUUGGUAGUUGCAAACUGUGAAACCAUAAAAUACAUAUGUUGAAAAAUCUUUAAGUUAUUUUAUUUUACUUAAGAACUAUUUUAUUUUAUUUACAUUGUUUUACUUCAAUAUCAUUCUUAUUGAAAGAGUUAUUUUUAUUUUCUUAAAGAGUAAUUUAUUUUAUUAAGAGAGUUGUUUUAUUUACUUGAGAGUUGUUUUAUUUUAUUUUAUUUAGUUGAAAGUUAUUUUAUAGUUUAAAAAAAGGUUGUCUGUGUUUUAGUUUUAUGUACAUGGUGAUGACAUGACUCUUUGUGUCUUGCUGACUGUGUAGAAUGCCUAUUGGCAUGAUUAUUGGAAGACCCUCUCCAUGGGACUGUUAUUUAAGAAUAAUAGGGCAUAUUAGACUUUUAAAAUAAUAAAUUCGCUGAAGUUGUAUGCACCUGUAACAUUUUUUAUUAUCUUCCUAACGCAUGAAAUAACCAAUCAUCAUUUCAAUGCUAUAAGAAUAAAAAUAAAUAUACAACUAUACAACUUUGCAAAAAGGAUCUGAGUUCCGAAUACCCAGCUAUUCUUGAUCUCGCCAAAUUUGCUUUAGCCUUUUAUAAGAAAAAAAUCUAUGUUUUCUUCUUUGCUGAGGCCAUCUUCUAGUUCAUUACAGAAUCCACUCUAUACAAAUGAUUAGAAUUUCAAAAUUUUUCUUAUUUUUAGCAAAGCUGUUUCAUUUAUUUGUAGUAACCUUAAGAUGCGUGCUUUCUAAUAUUCUCAAUACACUAUUAUUUUUGUCUCUACUAGACAUGGAAUCUUAAAAGUUACAUAUGCUCCAUUCAUGGAUCCCUUGCCUUAUCAAUAAAUGUUACAAAGAAAAUGCAUAUACUCCAACAUGCUCAAAAUAAGUUAACCAAGCAACUUUUGAAGGGUGACACAAUAUAAUGAUGGAAUUUUGUCCUAGUGUUAAUCUCAUACUACUUAUUACUUGUGUCUUUUAUUAGCCAUGCAUCUUCUGCUAUAACAUUGGUUUAGACUUGAAGGAGAUCCCUCACAACAAUCAUCACAUUACUGCCAUUACCCUAUCUGUGGAUUCAUCAAGUUCCCUUCACUCCAGAAUUUUAAAAUAUUGUUUGUUUCGUGAGAUUGCAAUGUAUUAUUAAUUUAUGCUUGUAAGUUUCAAUUGUGGGUCUUAUAUGAUGUUGGCAAGUGAAAUUUUAUAUCUAUUCAGGCUGCACACCAGAAAAUUGAGUUCUGUAUUUGCAAAAUCGGUCCAUUUGAAAACAGUGACCAACUUUUUCUUUCUACAGAGAUUCAAUUUAAUAGCGAGUUAAUGAAUUUUGUAUUGUAUUGUAGCCAAGGUGGAUUGUCAUAAAUCCUAUUUGUCACCCUAUACUUAACCUGCUUCUGUAGACUUGGGACAUUUCGAGAUUUCGCAUUGUAAGAUACAUUGUACUAUUUAUCUUUCCAAUUCAUUGAAUAGGAUAACCAUGAUAGUUAUGGUAAUUUUAUUACGAAAGCAAAUGCUUCAAUGCAGUUCUAGUACCAAAAUUGUUGAUUUGUAAAACCGAAAUAGAGUGUAACAUUUCUUUUGUAUUGAUUUUGAAGCCCAAACCAGAGUGCAAGGUAUGCUUUUGUUGCAAUCCAUGGUCACUGACAAGCAUAUAGUUUUAGGUGGCUUGGUAAUCAAGUGGAGAACACUAACCUUGGAUAAGUACUUAAUAUUGAUAAAGAAAGAUCAUGUUUUGGAAAGGUAAACGGUGGCCAACCUCCAUCAUCAUUGUCUGCAUCUGUCAUCAUUGUCUGCAUCUGUUUGUGAUUGUUGGAUGGUUUUUGAUCAAUGUUGAAUUUUUUUUAGCUGUUUGUAAUAGCUGGAUGGUUGUGCACAAAGUAGCGAACCUUUCUAGAGAUUAUAACUUGUGGACCAUCUAAGGUGAUAAGUAAUCAAAAUUAGUUUUUUCAUAUGAAUAAAACAUGAAUUAAUAUCUUAAACCAGAGGUUAUUGUUGGAGGUCAAACUUUUAAAAUGAAAAGAAAUGGAAAUUUCAACUUUUGCUUGUAAAUUGCAAGCAAGUUUGAAUCUACCAUGCUAUCAAUUUGUGUUUCUUGAAUAAUAAUUUAGAAUCUAGAAGAAAUGUUAAAUAUACAAUGAAAGAAUGACAUGACAUUUUAGAGUGAAAUUAAACUCCAAAGAGGACUUAAAUACUUCCAAGAAUUUGUAAUCAUGUUCAUGAUUUACUUGUCGUUCCAAUAAAGCAUGUUUUACAAAACCAGGGAAAAUACAAAACUAAAUAUAAGAAAUAUCAAGUAUGCCCACUUCUAGAAUGGCAUAAAAAUAAGUUUUUAUCAUAUUUUAAUAUUGAGUAUAGUUCUAGAUACGUUAUGUAAUGGAAUGCAUAUCAAAUGUUUCUUAUCUGCUCAUAUUGUGCUAGAUGAAGUAAAUAUAUAAAGAAUUGUGUGGGUGUGAAAAUAGACAUGAUACUUCAAAUGACGUACUAGAUGAAGUAAAUAUAUAAAGAAUUGUGUGGGUGUGAAAAUAGACAUGAUACUUCAAAUGACGUACUGCACCUCACAAAUUAAACCUACCUAGAGUUUAAAUGUGAUUAAUUAUGGGCUUCAGAAGAAUAUCCAACAAGGCUUAAUGUUUCCUUCUUUCCUUGCAAAGUGCUCUUUCUUGUUUAGGUAGUUAAGUAGUUACAAGAAGUUCAAUUAUGUGUAAUUACUAACUCAAUCUAUAUCUAACUCCAUACAUUUGGAAGUAAUUUGAUGAUUAAACAUGACUAAUUAAAGAUGCAUUUUAAGUAUAGCUCCAUUUGCAUAUACUUGUAUAUAUUUUGUGUUUGCUAAUUUAUUGUAAUAUAUGCUUGGAAGAACAAGUUUUUUAAGGAAAUUGUUUCAUCAAUUUUGUUAUAUUUAUAAACAUGAAUUUAUGUGUUUUUUUCUAUUUUCUAUGUUUUGUCAUACAUUAAUUAUUUUUGUAAUUUUAAAUCUUCUACUCAAACAUUACUAUAAUGUAUAAAUUUAGAUAUGUGUUUCUUUCAAUUGGUAAGUUAUAUUGAUCCCUUUUUUCAAAAUGUGUGAACAAUUUUUUUUUUUCUCUAAUGUUUAUGGAAAAUAUUGUAAAGUUGAAUUUAUCAUUGAUUAUCUUGAAAUCUUAUAAUGGUUAUUUGAUUGGAUUGAAGUGUCGUACUUCAAAUUAUGCAUUCAUGGUGUUAGUAGAGUGGAAAUCCUUUUUGCUAAUGCCAUUUUUGGUGUUGGUAGGACUCGAAACUAUUUUUCAAACCAUGAAUAUUUUUUUUAUUGAGGAAUCAUGCAUUUUUUUAAAGUUUUUUUUUUUAAUAAAAUGCACAGUGUAAUGCCCCUCCCUUGAUCAGACUUUGUUUAAUCUAGUUUGACUCUGGUUGACUUCUCUUGUUGUUUAUGUGGCUAGGUGAUACUCUCUAAUGUUAUGAUUUUUAUUGUGAUUCUAGGAUAUGAUGUUGGUUAUGCAUUUCAUCUCUAUGGAUGUUUAGAUGUUAGAUUAUAUGAUUAAGUUCUAACUUUGGAUUGACAUAUCAACUUUAUGUAUAUGUCUUGUGUUCGUUUUCUUGUAUGGGGCAUGAGGGGAUGAUCUUUCAGCAUGGACUUCAAAGGGACACAGAAUGUUACAACUCACCUCCACUGGUGUGUUUGUAUAUGUAGGAGAAAUAUAUAUGUUUUCUUGGUGAUGUAGUUGCAGGUAUCGAGUAUUGAUAACAUUAAUGAGAUUUUUGUAAACAAGUGGAAAUACUAAAUAAUGAACUGGGAAGAGUAGCUAGAUAACAUUAAUAAAGAUAAAAUUGUUGCCUCUCUUAUGCUUGUGUGCUCGUUUAUGUCCGAGGUAAGUAGACAUCCACCAAUUUUGUCCCUUCAAAAGGUUGGUGUGGUCCACUAGUGUUUGUAUGGGGGCCAGGGGUCAGGAGAGGUCACCAGGGUAACCUAGGAAGGGGGUUGAGACCUAGUGAAAAGUCACCAGCGUAACUCAUGACAACCUAGUGAUGACACUCUUCCCUAUUGCAUACUUAGUGGUAACUUAUGCUAUUUAUCUUUAUGUGGAUUGCUCGGGCCUUUGGAAGUUGGUUGUUUUACUUUUGUGUCUCCUGUGACGCUACUCUUGUGAGCCUCUUGUGCGCACAGUCUUGUUGAUUUUUUUGUGAGUGUAGUCUUGUUGGUGCUCUUGAGAGUCAUGUUGUACUCUAGUGUGUUGCUUCCAUCUCUUGUCUUUGGUAGAUACCUCCUAGCAUGAAGGGUGGACCCAAUUGUACCACAUGGUUGGGCAGAGUGCUAUUCGCAUCCAUUGGGUUUUGGUUCGAUCUACAUCCUAUUCGUGAUGGCUCGUGAGGAGAUUGAAGACCUACUUUAUGUACCAGAUUUUAUACUCAUUUCAUUAUUGUACUCACGAAGAUUGUAUUGUUAUGGAUACCUUGUAAUGUAUACGAUGAUUAUAUGUACUAUUCCAUGGCUAUGUAGUAUGAAUCAUGUACCUUGUGAAGGACAGUGUAAUCUUUAUUAUUAAAGUUCCUUUUGUUCUUUUUG
RNA transcript from Cryptomeria japonica (Japanese cedar), 6668 nucleotides. RefSeq lists it as uncharacterized. The record is from RefSeq and is a predicted model, not a curated record. The transcript is spliced from 3 exons. Lineage: Eukaryota; Viridiplantae; Streptophyta; Pinopsida; Cupressales; Cupressaceae.